This 254-nucleotide ribosomal RNA is filed under the name uncultured bacterium. RNAcentral describes it as "partial 16S ribosomal RNA". It matches the Rfam family "Bacterial small subunit ribosomal RNA", at positions 524 to 776 of the family's 1533-position model. The record is from RNAcentral.
UACGAAGGGGGCUAGCGUUGUUCGGAUUUACUGGGCGUAAAGCGCGCGCAGGCGGCUUUGCAAGUCAGGGGUGAAAUCCCAGAGCUCAACUCUGGAAUUGCCUUUGAGACUGUGAGGCUUCGAGUACGGGAGAGGUGAGUGGAAUUCCCAGUGUAGAGGUGAAAUUCGUAGAUAUUGGGAAGAACACCGGUGGCGAAGGCGGCUCACUGGCCCGGUACUGACGCUGAGGUGCGAAAGCGUGGGGAGCAAACAGG